AGAGUUUGAUCCUGGCUCAGAACGAACGUUGGCGGCGUGGAUUGGGCAUGCAAGUCGAACGAAUCCCUUGGGGCUUGCUCCAAGGGGGAAGUGGCGAAAGGGGCAGUAAGGCAUGGGUAACCUACCCUGGGGACGAGGAUAGCCUUCCUAACGGAAGGGUAAUACUUGGCGAUCUGGCGACGAGGCAUCUCGUUGCCAGGAAAUGAAUUUCGCCUCGGGAGGGGCUCAUGUAGUAUUAGCUGGUUGGUGGGGUAACGGCCUACCAAGGCGAAGAUGCUUAGCGGGUGUGAGAGCACGACCCGCGCCACUGGCACUGAGACACUGGCCAGACUCCUACGGGAGGCUGCAGUCGAGGAUCUUCGGCAAUGGGCGCAAGCCUGACCGAGCGACGCCGCGUGUGCGAUGAAGGCCUUCGGGUUGUAAAGCACUGUCGAGGGGAAGA
Molecule: ribosomal RNA, 442 nt
Filed under: uncultured bacterium
Lineage: Bacteria
Description: bacterial SSU rRNA
Rfam family: Bacterial small subunit ribosomal RNA
Source: RNAcentral